UUGCAUAUUCCAUUAGCGGAGGAAAAGAAACCAACAGGGAUUGCCUCAGUAACGGCGAGUGAAGCGGCAAAAGCUCAAAUUUGAAAUCCCCCCGGGGAGUUGUAAUUUGAAGAUUGCGUCUUGGAGGCGACCGUGUCUAUGUUCCUUGGAACAGGACGUCACAGAGGGUGAGAAUCCCGUGCGGCACGGCCCCCGGCUCCUUAUAAGGCGCUCUCGACGAGUCGAGUUGUUUGGGAAUGCAGCUCAAAGUGGGUGGUAAAUUCCAUCUAAAGCUAAAUACAGGCGAGAGACCGAUAGCGAACAAGUACAGUGAUGGAAAGAUGAAAAGCACUUUGAAAAGAGAGUGAAACAGCACGUGAAAUUGUUGAAAGGGAAGGGCAUGCCGUCAGAUUGUCAGUGUGGGUAAGAAG
This 410-nucleotide ribosomal RNA is filed under the name Kodamaea ohmeri. Its description in RNAcentral is "eukaryotic LSU rRNA". It matches the Rfam family "Eukaryotic large subunit ribosomal RNA", at positions 35 to 453 of the family's 3401-position model. The record is from RNAcentral. Lineage: Eukaryota; Fungi; Ascomycota; Pichiomycetes; Serinales; Debaryomycetaceae.